GUGGAUUAGAUACCCGGGUAGUCCUGGCCGUAAACGAUGGGUACUAGGUGUGGGGGGUGUCAACUCCUCCCGUGCCGGCGCUAACGCAAUAAGUACCCCGCCUGGGGAGUACGGCCGCAAGGUUGAAACUCAAAGGAAUUGACGGGGGCCCGCACAAGCGGUGGAGUAUGUGGUUUAAUUCGACGCAACGCGAAGAACCUUACCAGGGUUUGACAUCCACUGAAUACUUAAGAGAUUAGGUAGGCCCUUUCGGGGGACAGUGAGACAGGUGGUGCAUGGCUGUCGUCAACU
RNAcentral lists this ribosomal RNA (291 nucleotides) under uncultured bacterium. RNAcentral describes it as "partial 16S ribosomal RNA". It matches the Rfam family "Bacterial small subunit ribosomal RNA", at positions 773 to 1060 of the family's 1533-position model. The record is from RNAcentral.